GGUCGAUACGGUAAGGGGUGUCGCUGCCCAUCGGGAAGAGGUCGAUCAGGGCGCCGCGUAUCGCGAACUCCCCGUGUUCGUACACGGUGUCGACCA
This 96-nucleotide transfer RNA is filed under the name Marinobacterium zhoushanense. RNAcentral describes it as "tRNA-Ser". Lineage: Bacteria; Pseudomonadati; Pseudomonadota; Gammaproteobacteria; Oceanospirillales; Oceanospirillaceae. The record is from RNAcentral.